RNAcentral lists this ribosomal RNA (496 nucleotides) under uncultured bacterium. RNAcentral's name for it is "partial 16S ribosomal RNA". It matches the Rfam family "Bacterial small subunit ribosomal RNA", at positions 899 to 1397 of the family's 1533-position model. The record is from RNAcentral.
ACUCAAAUGAAUAGACGGGGGCCCGCACAAGCGGCGGAGCAUGUGGCUUAAUUCGACGCAACGCGAAGAACCUUACCUGGGCUUGACAUGCGGGGCAAAGCCGUGGAAACACGGCGCCCUUCGGGGCCCGCACAGGUGGUGCAUGGCUGUCGUCAGCUCGUGCCGUGAGGUGUUGCCUUAAGUGGCGCAACGAGCGCAACCCCUGUCCCUAGUUGCCAGCGGGUAAAGCCGGGAACUCUAGGGAGACUGCCGGUGCCAAACCGGAGGAAGGUGGGGAUGACGUCAAGUCAUCAUGCCCCUUACGUCCAGGGCUGCACACAUGCUACAAUGCGUGGCACAAAGGGCUGCAAUCCCGCAAGGGGGAGCGAAUCCCAAAAAACCACGCUCAGUUCGGAUCGGGGUCUGCAACUCGACCCCGUGAAGUCGGAGUCGCUAGUAAUCGCAGAUCAGCAACGCUGCGGUGAAUACGUUCCCGGGCCUUGCACACACCGCCCGU